Non-coding RNA from Athelia sp. TMB, 74 nucleotides. Lineage: Eukaryota; Fungi; Basidiomycota; Agaricomycetes; Atheliales; Atheliaceae. The record is from the annotation of a GenBank genome assembly.
AAGACUGUAGCAUAAUUGGUUAAUGCAUUCUGCUCAUAAUAGAAGGGUUUUGGGUUCGAUUCCCAACGGUCUUA